UCCGGUUUGUCACCGGCAGUCUCCCUAGAGUCCCCGACUUUACUCGCUGGCAACUAGGGACAGGGGUUGCGCUCGUUGCGGGACUUAACCCAACAUCUCACGACACGAGCUGACGACAACCAUGCACCACCUGUGCACGAGCCCCGAAGGGCUGCCGUAUUUCUACGACAUUCCCGUGCAUGUCAAGCCCAGGUAAGGUGGGGAUGACGUACUGGAAGCAAGCU
RNAcentral lists this unclassified non-coding RNA (224 nucleotides) under uncultured Gaiellales bacterium. RNAcentral describes it as "contains 16S-23S intergenic spacer region". Lineage: Bacteria; Bacillati; Actinomycetota; Thermoleophilia; Gaiellales. The record is from RNAcentral.